Long non-coding RNA from Pungitius pungitius (ninespine stickleback), 291 nucleotides. RefSeq lists it as uncharacterized. NCBI's taxonomy places the organism in Eukaryota, Metazoa, Chordata, Actinopteri, Perciformes, Gasterosteidae. The record is from RefSeq and is a predicted model, not a curated record. The transcript is spliced from 3 exons.
AACACAUUUCGGAAGUGUGUCUCCGGGAAGGAUCUCGAUAAGAUCUCUGAACAUGAAAAGAUAACUUAUAGAUACUACUGUGAAGCGAUCUUGGUACUUGGUCUAUUUCAGCGACCAGGAGCAGUGGAAAGAAUGACUGUGCACGAGUGGAUCGAUCGGAAGCAAUGUAAUAAAAGCUUUGUGAUUGGUGCGUGUGAUCACAAAACGGACACAUCACCGCUUCUUACAUUUGCCAUCUCACAAGAGGAGGAGGCUUGGUUUCAAGCAUACUACGAGUACAUUCGCCCCGGA